This 233-nucleotide long non-coding RNA is filed under the name Hordeum vulgare. RNAcentral describes it as "long non-coding RNA (HVUL_LNC020372)". The record is from RNAcentral. Lineage: Eukaryota; Viridiplantae; Streptophyta; Magnoliopsida; Poales; Poaceae.
CGCCGCGCGUGCCAUCAGCCGGGAGAUAGGUGGACCCAUCAAAUUCAGACCCCAACGUGUCCAACACAACAGACGACGAGAUCAAGGCCAUCUUUGUUUCUUGGAGGCAUACAAUGGACGCACGAGUGUUACAGAGCAGCGAACGGAUAGCGCAGCGCCGAGCGCGCGAGUUAAGGCCUCUAACAUUCCAUACAACGAUUUUCAAGCCGUAAUCCAUGAGCAAGGGAUCGACG